AAGUCGUAACAAGGUUUCCGUAGGUGAACCUGCGGAAGGAUCAUUGCGAAUAUUGUUGUGGGUUGGUUUGGACGAGGCAAGGAAAAGGUUAAACUUUCCUGGUCUUGUCCGGCUGGCCACAUGUGCACAGCGGCAGCCCCGUGCUGCUGCUGAUGUCUACGCUUGUUUGUUUGACAGAUCGAUAGGACGAAAUAUAGACAACUUUUAACAACGGAUCUCUUGGCUCUU
RNAcentral lists this unclassified non-coding RNA (228 nucleotides) under Phylloporus sp. Its description in RNAcentral is "partial contains small subunit ribosomal RNA, internal transcribed spacer 1, and 5.8S ribosomal RNA". The stretch from base 1 to 46 matches the Rfam family "Eukaryotic small subunit ribosomal RNA", at positions 1786 to 1831 of the family's 1831-position model. The record is from RNAcentral. Lineage: Eukaryota; Fungi; Basidiomycota; Agaricomycetes; Boletales; Boletaceae.